Molecule: ribosomal RNA, 676 nt
Filed under: uncultured Chloroflexota bacterium
Lineage: Bacteria; Bacillati; Chloroflexota
Description: bacterial SSU rRNA
Rfam family: Bacterial small subunit ribosomal RNA
Source: RNAcentral
CGGACGGGUGAGUAACGCGUGAGUGACCUGCCCCGAAGUGGGGAAUAACUGCCCGAAAGGGUGGCUAAUACCGCAUGUGGUGAUCGGUUCGUUCCGGUCACCAAAGCCGCAAGGCGCUUCGGGAGGGGCCUGCGUCCGAUUAGCUCGUUGGUGGGGUAACGGCUCACCAAGGCGACGAUCGGUAGGUGGUCUGAGAGGACGAUCACCCAGACUGGGACUGAGACACGGCCCAGACUCCUACGGGAGGCAGCAGUCGGGAAUUUUGCUCAAUGGGCGAAAGCCUGAAGCAGCAACGCCGCGUGAGGGAUGACGGCCUUCGGGUUGUAAACCUCUUUUUUCAGGGACGAUGAUGACGGUACCUGAAGAAUAAGCCACGGCUAACUACGUGCCAGCAGCCGCGGUAAUACGUAGGUGGCGAGCGUUGUCCGGAUUUACUGGGCGUAAAGAGCGCGCAGGCGGUCGUGCAAGUCGGAUGUGAAAGCCCUCGGCUCAACUGGGGAGGGUCAUUCGAUACUGCUCGACUCGAAGGCGGGAGAGGGAAGCGGAAUUCCCGGUGUAGUGGUGAAAUGCGUAGAUAUCGGGAGGAACACCAGUGGCGAAGGCGGCUUCCUGGCCCGUUCUUGACGCUGAGGCGCGAAAGCUAGGGGAGCGAAAGGGAUUAGAUACCCCUGUAGUC